Molecule: RNase P RNA, 412 nt
Filed under: Lautropia sp.
Lineage: Bacteria; Pseudomonadati; Pseudomonadota; Betaproteobacteria; Burkholderiales; Burkholderiaceae
Description: RNase P RNA component class A
Rfam family: Bacterial RNase P class A
About the family: Ribonuclease P (RNase P) is a ubiquitous endoribonuclease, found in archaea, bacteria and eukarya as well as chloroplasts and mitochondria. Its best characterised activity is the generation of mature 5'-ends of tRNAs by cleaving the 5'-leader elements of precursor-tRNAs. Cellular RNase Ps are ribonucleoproteins.
Source: RNAcentral
GGAGCGGGUCGGACGGUCGCCGGGUUUUUCCCGGAGGAAGGUCCGGACUCCAGCGGGCAGGAUGCUGGCUAACGGCCAGGCGCCAUAGGCUACCUUGUUGGGACGUCGUCCCAUCCAGGCGCCCAAAGCGACGGACAGUGGCACAGAAAAAAAACCGCCCGGCAUGCGAUUUGCCGGGUAAGGGUGAAAAGGUGGGGUAAGAGCCCACCGCACGGCUGGUGACAGGCGUGGCAGGCUAAACCCCAUCCGGAGCAACAUCAUGUAGGCACGCGACGCAGCCCAGGCUGCACAGGGCGCCCGCCCGAGCGUGCGGGUAGAUGGCUAGAGCCAGCCGGUAACGGCUGGUCAAGAGGAAUGAUCGUCACAUCGUGUAAGCGAUGGACAGAAUCCGGCCUAUAGACCCGCUCCCCUU